GAUGAACGCUGGCGGCGUGCUUAACACAUGCAAGUCGAACGGUGAAGCAGGAGCUUGCUCUUGUGGAUCAGUGGCGAACGGGUGAGUAACCCGUGAGCAACCUGCCCCUGACUCUGGGAUAAGCGCUGGAAACGGCGGCUAAUACUGGAUAUGUGAUGUGACCGCAUGGUCUGCAUCUGGAAAGAAUUUCGGUUGGGGAUGGGCUCGCGGCCUAUCAGCUUGUUGGUGAGGUAAUGGCUCACCAAGGCGUCGACGGGUAGCCGGCCUGAGAGGGUGACCGGCCACACUGGGACUGAGACACGGCCCAGACUCCUACGGGAGGCAGCAGUGGGGAAUAUUGCACAAUGGGCGGAAGCCUGAUGCAGCAACGCCGCGUGAGGGAUGACGGCCUUCGGGUUGUAAACCUCUUUUAGCAGGGAAGAAGCGAAAGUGACGGUACCUGCAGAAAAAGCACCGGCUAACUACGUGCCAGCAGCCGCCGUAA
RNAcentral lists this ribosomal RNA (484 nucleotides) under uncultured bacterium. RNAcentral's name for it is "partial 16S ribosomal RNA". It matches the Rfam family "Bacterial small subunit ribosomal RNA", at positions 28 to 523 of the family's 1533-position model. The record is from RNAcentral.